UGUGGAAAUUUACUCCUGUUUUUCUCUGUCUACGAUGGCCCUUGUACACCAUUGUAGACGAACCAUACUGCUUGUUUACAUGAUUUCCUUUAUGCCAUCACUUCACUCAGCUGUUUCCUGGUCAGAUGCUCAUGUUGUCCAGAUAUGAUCCGUUUCACUGCCAAAUAUCCUGUCCAAUCUAUUAGUACAAUGGUUCAUAAACCUGCUCCAUGCACUCCUCCCCUGCAUGUUUUAGAUGCAUUCAUGACCUCCUCAGCAGACACUCACUGCUGCAGGAGCCUGCCAGUCACUCAUUCUUUAAUUCAGCUGUUUGGAAGCAAGGAGACACCUAAAGCAUGCAGAGCCAGGGUAGUGGAGGAACUAAUUUUCCCAUAAAAACUCCCAUUUUUUAGCAGUAAAUUCCAAUCGAAGGUGCUUUAUUUGGUUGUUAGAGACCAGAAGUGAUUGUAACAGAACUAUUUUCACCUUAGUGAGCAGAGAAGAGGAUGAGGAGGAGGACCGGUCCAGGCAGGUCCACUCUGGUUGGCAGCACGGUUUGAUGCCUUCAGGGCUCACCUGUUCUUUGGAUUUUCCAGUUAUGUCAGGGCAUCUGAGUAAACAUGAGUGAAAUGGAAGACACUGAGCACAGAAGCUGAUAAAUCUUUAUAUACGGUGGUUUGGUAUCCAAGGUGAUUGUUUAAUCAAACGAAUUCUCAACUGGACAUUCAGCUGUUUUUGUUUUUGCAUUGAUUUUACCGUUCAGUGGCUUUAUGUUGGUGUUGUUUUUUAAGAGGACAGUGUGCUUCAUUAGAGACGAGCUGGAAUGAUGGCAGAUUAAAAAAACAGAGAUUAGCUGGAGCCUGGAUUCCAGCGACGUGAAUUCCUGGAUUGGUUCUGAGCUACUCCAUAGUGGGCAUGGGUUGGUAUGAGCCUCUCAGUGAUAAGAAACAAUGAUUCAGCAGUUUCAGUUAGGGGUGCACCGAUGGCAGUUUUCUGGCUGAUCACUGAUAUGUAAAAAGCCUGAACUGCUGAUUCUGAUUUUGACUGAUAGAGAUAUUUUUUUUUUGUCACCAACUUUGUUGCCAUAUUUGGCGUUGGUGUCAUCAUGACUGUUUAGGGGUUUAUAAUAAGAAUGCACAGAUAUCCAAAUUUAAGAGGAUAUUAAUAAUUUAUCUUAUCUGUAUCGAAUCAAUACAGAUAUGUUAAAACAUGACUAAUAUCAGCUGAUACUGAUGUUAGUGUCGAUAUAUUGUGCAUCCCUACUUAAUAAUAGUGAUGAGUUGUGGCCCUUUAGGUUUCACACCAUGACUCUUAGUUUGUUGCAACUGGAAAUAUUUCCAAACAGCCAAAUUAGUCUUUCUUGGAACAGUAAUGAAACUGUUACUCUUUUUUUAUUCUAUGGUGUGUGUUGUUACUAGGAACCGGCCCACUAACACUGGGAUGUCAGUGUUAGUGGAAUCUACUGUGUGACCACAGCUGGUCCUGUGGUUCUGCUGAUGAUCGCCUCACGCUUCACUUCGUCGCUGUCUCUCAGGACUUUCUGUUCACAUGAAGAACCUAAUCAAGCCUUUCUGUGGCCUGUCAGUACAAGCCAGACUGAGUGCUUUCCUCUGAAUCUGAUCCAUUUGCAUCAUGUUUCGUCAGGAAAUACUGCUGCUGCUCUGGAUGUGACUGAAAACAGACUGACAGCUGCACCUUGGAACAAAUUUAAACAGGAACGUGCUUCCUUUCACCAUACAUCACCUUGCAAUAAAUGUUUGAGACAAGUGUCA
This is a long non-coding RNA of Poecilia latipinna (sailfin molly), 1751 nucleotides long. RefSeq lists it as uncharacterized. Lineage: Eukaryota; Metazoa; Chordata; Actinopteri; Cyprinodontiformes; Poeciliidae. The record is from RefSeq and is a predicted model, not a curated record. The transcript has 2 exons.